This 484-nucleotide ribosomal RNA is filed under the name uncultured bacterium. RNAcentral describes it as "partial 16S ribosomal RNA". It matches the Rfam family "Bacterial small subunit ribosomal RNA", at positions 28 to 507 of the family's 1533-position model. The record is from RNAcentral.
AUUGAACGCUGGCGGCAUGCUUUACACAUGCAAGUCGAACGGCAGCGCGGGCUUCGGCCUGGCUGCGAGUGGCGAACGGGUGAGUAAUGCAUCGGAACGUGCCCAGUAGUGGGGGAUAGCCCGUCGAAAGCCGGAUUAAUACCGCAUACGACCUGAGGGUGAAAGCGGGGGACCGAAAGGCCUCGCGCUAUUGGAGCGGCCGAUGUCGGAUUAGCUAGUUGGUGGGGUAAAGGCUUACCUAGGCGACGAUCCGUAGCUGGUCGGAGAGGACGACCAGCCACACUGGGACUGGGACACGGACCAGAGGCCUACGGGAGGCAGCAGUGGGGAAUGUUGGACAAUGGGGGCAACCCUGAUCCAGCCAGGCCGCGUGCGGGAAGAAGGCCUUCGGGUUGUAAACCGCUUUUGUUCGGGAAGAAAUCCUCUGGGCUAAUACCCCGGGGGGAUGACGGUACCGGAAGAAUAAGCACCGGCUAACUACGUG